Molecule: ribosomal RNA, 445 nt
Filed under: uncultured organism
Description: partial 16S ribosomal RNA
Rfam family: Bacterial small subunit ribosomal RNA
Source: RNAcentral
ACUCCUGCGGGAGGCAGCAGUGGGGAAUAUUGGACAAUGGGCGCAAGCCUGAUCCAGCCAUGCCGCGUGAGUGAUGAAGGCCCUAGGGUUGUAAAGCUCUUUCACCGGUGAAGAUAAUGACGGUAACCGGAGAAGAAGCCCCGGCUAACUUCGUGCCAGCAGCCGCGGUAAUACGAAGGGGGCUAGCGUUGUUCGGAUUUACUGGGCGUAAAGCGCACGUAGGCGGACUAUUAAGUCAGGGGUGAAAUCCCGGGGCUCAACCCCGGAACUGCCUGUGAUACUGGUAGUCUUGAGUUCGAGAGAGGUGAGUGGAAUUCCGAGUGUAGAGGUGAAAUUCGUAGAUAUUCGGAGGAACACCAGUGGCGAAGGCGGCUCACUGGCUCGAUACUGACGCUGAGGUGCGAAAGCGUGGGGAGCAAACAGGAUUAGAAACCCCUGUAGUCCC